AGCCUCUUACUGCUUACCGCAGGCUGUGUGUUCUUAUACUGACUGUAUCGAAAGAGGAGGCAAAGUAAACCUAACCCCAAGAACACCCCAAGAACACCCCAGCCUGAGCCACUGUGCCUGGUCUGUACUGUGAAUGGGGAGAUAUGG
This 147-nucleotide small nucleolar RNA is filed under the name Jaculus jaculus (lesser Egyptian jerboa). RNAcentral describes it as "Small nucleolar RNA SNORA51 (ENSJJAG00000009274.1)". It matches the Rfam family "Small nucleolar RNA SNORA51". Rfam says of the family: ACA51 is a member of the H/ACA class of snoRNA that guide the sites of modification of uridines to pseudouridines. The record is from Rfam by way of RNAcentral. Lineage: Eukaryota; Metazoa; Chordata; Mammalia; Rodentia; Dipodidae.